CUAGCAUGUGUGCGAGUCAUUGGGUAUUUUGAAAACCUAAAGGCGUAAUUAACUUAACCUAUAUAUUUUUAAUGGGAUUAAUUAUAUAUUUUUAAUACUAAAAUAUAAAUUCCAUCCCGGGGCGUUCUAUAUAGUUAUGCAUUUUAAUAUAUUUUUAUAUAUUUUAUAUGCCUCUAACUAGAGCGUACCUUGAGCAUAUAUGUUGUGACCCGAAAGAUGGUGAACUAUACCUGAUCAGGUUGAAGUCAGGGGAAACCCUGAUGGAAGACCGAAACAGUUCUGACGUGCAAAUCGAUUGUCAGAAUUGGGUAUAGGGGCGAAAGACCAAUCGAACCAUCUAGUAGCUGGUUCCCUCCGAAGUUUCCCUCAGGAUAGCUGGUGCAUAUAAAUAUUAUAUGAAAUAAUCUUAUCUGGUAAAGCGAAUGAUUAGAGGCAUUAGGGCCGAAACGACCUUAACCUAUUCUCAAACUUUAAAUGGGUAAGAACCUUGCCUUUCUUGAUAUGAAGGUUAAGGUUGUGAUAUAUUGUGCCCAGUGGGCCACUUUUGGUAAGCAGAACUGGCGCUGUGGGAUGAACCAAACGUAAUGUUACGGUGCCCAAAUUAACAACUCAUACUGAUACCAUGAAAGGCGWUGCUUGCUUAAAACAGCAGGACGGUGGACAUGGAAGYCGYAAUCCGCUAAGGAGUGUGUAACAACUCACCUGCCGAAGCAACUAGCCCUUAAAAUGGAUGGCGCUCAAGUUGUAUGCCUAUACAUUACCGCUAAAAUAUAUGAUUUAUAAAUAUAUAUUUAUAAAUUUUGAAAUUUUAGUGAGUAGGAGGGUACAAUGGUGUGCGUAGAAGUGUUUGGCGUAAGCCUACAUGGAGCCGCCAUUGGUACAGAUCUUGGUGGUAGUAGCAAAUAAUCGAAUGAGACCUUGGAGGACUGAAGUGGAGAAGGGUUUCGUGUGAACAGUGGUUGAUCACGAGUUAGUCGGUCCUAAGUUCAAGGCGAAAGCCGUAAAAUUUUGAGUUUUUCUUAUUAUUAUAUAAUACUUUUAAUUUUUUCUGAACGAAAGGGAAUACGGUUCCAAUUCCGUAACCUGUUGAGUAUACGUUUGUUAUUAAAAAUGGGCUUUUAUGCUCAUCCUGGUAACAGAAACAACCAUAAAGAAGCCGUCGAGAGAUAUCGGAAGAGUUUUCUUUUCUGUUUUAUAGUCGUACUACCAUGGAAGUCUUUCGAAGAGAGAUAUGGUAGAUGGACUAGAAGAGCAUGGCAUUUACUGCUGUGUCGAUAUUUUCUCCUCGGACCUUGAAAAUUUAUGGUAGGGUCACGCAAACUUCUUAACAGGCCGUACCGAUAUCCGCAGCUGGUCUCCAAGGUGAAGAGUCUCUAGUCGAUAGAAUAAUGUAGGUAAGGGAAGUCAA
This 1408-nucleotide ribosomal RNA is filed under the name Apiocera sp. D054. RNAcentral's name for it is "eukaryotic LSU rRNA". It matches the Rfam family "Eukaryotic large subunit ribosomal RNA", at positions 675 to 1918 of the family's 3401-position model. The record is from RNAcentral. Lineage: Eukaryota; Metazoa; Arthropoda; Insecta; Diptera; Apioceridae.